Molecule: ribosomal RNA, 482 nt
Filed under: uncultured bacterium
Lineage: Bacteria
Description: bacterial SSU rRNA
Rfam family: Bacterial small subunit ribosomal RNA
Source: RNAcentral
AUUGAACGCUGGCGGCAUGCUUUACACAUGCAAGUCGAACGGCAGCGGGGGCUUCGGCCCGCCGGCGAGUGGCGAACGGGUGAGUAAUGCAUCGGAACGUGCCCAGUCGUGGGGGAUAACACAUCGAAAGAUGUGCUAAUACCGCAUACGUCCUGAGGGAGAAAGCGGGGGAUCUUCGGACCUCGCGCGAUUGGAGCGGCCGAUGUCGGAUUAGCUAGUUGGUGGGGUAAAAGCCCACCAAGGCGACGAUCCGUAGCGGGUCUGAGAGGAUGAUCAGCCACACUGGGACUGAGACACGGCCCAGACUCCUACGGGAGGCAGCAGUGGGGAAUAUUGGACAAUGGGCGCAAGCCUGAUCCAGCCAUGCCGCGUGAGUGAUGAAGGCCUUAGGGUUGUAAAGCUCUUUCGCCGGUGAAGAUAAUGACGGUAACCGGUAAAGAAGCCCCGGCUAACUUCGUGCCAGCAGCCGCGGUAAGUACUGA